ACGCGUGGGUAACCUGCCUUGUACUGGGGGAGUAGCAGCUGGAAACGGCUGGUAAUACCGCAUAAGCGCACAAUGUUGCAUGACAUGGUGUGAAAAACUCCGGUGGUAUAAGAUGGACCCGCGUCUGAUUAGCUAGUUGGUGAGAUAACAGCCCACCAAGGCGACGAUCAGUAGCCGACCUGAGAGGGUGACCGGCCACAUUGGGACUGAGACACGGCCCAGACUCCUACGGGAGGCAGCAUG
RNAcentral lists this ribosomal RNA (243 nucleotides) under uncultured bacterium. RNAcentral's name for it is "partial 16S ribosomal RNA". It matches the Rfam family "Bacterial small subunit ribosomal RNA", at positions 113 to 353 of the family's 1533-position model. The record is from RNAcentral.